CCAUGUUACUGAGCCUUUAACAUGGUGCUUUGGAGUUUGUCUUCUAUCUGGAGUUUGCCUGUGUUUUGAAGUUUGUGUUCUUGCACCACAAGUCUCCGUCAGCAAGUGUCUAUCUUAUUUAACUUCAUAUACCCUGCUUUUGAGAACCUCAAUCAUAAGACAUUUAAGCAACAAAGAAUUGCUUCAAUCAACCUCAAGCACUCAUCAGGUCAUCAUUGGUUAUUACGAAAUGUAGAGAACCCAGGAAGGAGUGGUGGUCCAGAUCAGCCCAUGUGCAUCCAGAUAUACAUCCUGACCCAGAGGCUUGGGCAAACCUGCCCAACCAAGGUCUGCUCAGGAAACUGCUGCACAGAUGCCCCAGCUUCAGUGAGAAGCCUGCCCCGCAGAAUGGGGAACUAAGAAGACAUUGAUUCCUAAAAUUAUGAAACAAAGGCCUUGAAGUUUAUUGUGCCAAACCUCAAAUUUUACUGGGUACAGCAGUUAGGUUCUUCUGAUUGACAUAAGACAACCUAAGCCUACAUGUAGUGCUGGUGACUAUUGAUCCAACCACAACUGAAAAAUGCCACAAUAUGAGGAAUGUUGGUUUAUUAAAGGAAAGGAAAGCUGCUCAUAUCAUGGCAGCCAGGAAGGAAUAGAAAAGGAAAGAGUUGGAGAGGAAAGGACCAGGGAUGAUAUAUAGACCCCAAGGUCAUGCCUUCAUAAUGCAUUUUGGUCAAGCAGGCCCCACCUCCUAAAUUUCCAACACUACCCAAGAAUACUGUCAAAUUAUGAUUUCAUCAAUGGACUAAUCUGAUGAAGUUGGAGCUUUCAUGAUCUAAUCACCUAAAAGUUCUUCCUCUGAAUGCAUGAGAAUUGGGGUCAUUUUUGAUCUAAACCACAACAGAUGUCAUGAACUGAUAAGACUACUGAAAAAAUGUAUUUUUGGUUAAAGCCAUGAAAAUAACCUUUUGGAAGUAUGGGUCUGAUGUGACUACAUAAUACCCAGAUGGAGAGACAGCAGUGGUACAGUUCGAGGAACCAUAAUCUGAAAAUCUGAAAUCUUAAAAGCACCAAAUUUUAAAACUUUUUGACCACCUAUAUGAUUCCAUAAGUGGAAAAACUACACUUAAGCUCAUGUUAUAGGUUGCAAUUAGCACAUAGAUUCACUAAAAAUAUUGCAUGAAAUUUCCUUCAGGCUAUGUAUAGAAGGUGUAUAAGAAACAAAUGUAUUUCAUGUUCAUAUUUGCAUCCCAUUCUGAAAUUUUUGUUAUGUAUAUAAGAACAUUCCAAAAUUGAAACAAUUCUAAACUAUGAAAAAG
RNAcentral lists this long non-coding RNA (1298 nucleotides) under Fukomys damarensis (Damara mole-rat). Its description in RNAcentral is "lncRNA (ENSFDAG00000024071.1)". Lineage: Eukaryota; Metazoa; Chordata; Mammalia; Rodentia; Bathyergidae. The record is from RNAcentral.